RNAcentral lists this ribosomal RNA (433 nucleotides) under uncultured bacterium. RNAcentral describes it as "bacterial SSU rRNA". It matches the Rfam family "Bacterial small subunit ribosomal RNA", at positions 355 to 786 of the family's 1533-position model. The record is from RNAcentral.
UGAGGAAUAUUGGUCAAUGGUCGGGAGACUGAACCAGCCAAGCCGCGUGAGGGAUGAAGGUACAGAGUAUCGUAAACCUCUUUUGUCAGGGAACAAAAGGCGCCACGCGUGGCGCUCCGAGUGUACCUGAAGAAAAAGCAUCGGCUAACUCCGUGCCAGCAGCCGCGGUAAUACGGAGGAUGCGAGCGUUAUCCGGAUUUAUUGGGUUUAAAGGGUGCGUAGGCGGCGAGUUAAGUCAGCGGUAAAAGCCCGGGGCUCAACCCCGGCCCGCCGUUGAAACUGGCUUGCUUGAGUUGGAGAGAAGUAGGCGGAAUGCGCGGUGUAGCGGUGAAAUGCUUAGAUAUCGCGCAGAACUCCGAUUGCGAAGGCAGCCUACCGGCUCCAGACUGACGCUGAGGCACGAAAGCAUGGGUAGCAAACAGGAUUAGAUACC